This 327-nucleotide ribosomal RNA is filed under the name Vibrio parahaemolyticus. RNAcentral describes it as "partial 23S ribosomal RNA". It matches the Rfam family "Bacterial large subunit ribosomal RNA", at positions 212 to 586 of the family's 2925-position model. The record is from RNAcentral. Lineage: Bacteria; Pseudomonadati; Pseudomonadota; Gammaproteobacteria; Vibrionales; Vibrionaceae.
CGAGGAAAAGAAAUCAACCGAGAUUCCGAAAGUAGCGGCGAGCGAAAUUGGACUAGCCCUUAAGCUUUACACGCGUUAGACGAACGGUCUGGAAAGUCCGACGAUACAGGGUGAUAGUCCCGUAGUUGACGACGUGUGUUCAGUGAAAUCGAGUAGGGCGGGACACGUGAUAUCCUGUCUGAAUAUGGGGGGACCAUCCUCCAAGGCUAAAUACUACUGACUGACCGAUAGUGAACCAGUACCGUGAGGGAAAGGCGAAAAGAACCCCUGUGAGGGGAGUGAAAUAGAACCUGAAACCGUGUACGUACAAGCAGUAGGAGCAGGCUU